GACGAACGCUGGCGGCGUGCUUAACACAUGCAAGUCGAACGGAAAGGCCCUGCUUUUGUGGGGUGCUCGAGUGGCGAACGGGUGAGUAACACGUGAGUAACCUGCCCUUGACUUUGGGAUAACUUCAGGAAACUGGGGCUAAUACCGGAUAGGAGCUCCUGCUGCAUGGUGGGGGUUGGAAAGUUUCGGCGGUUGGGGAUGGACUCGCGGCUCAUCAGCUUGUUGGUGGGGUAGUGGCUUACCAAGGCUUUGACGGGUAGCCGGCCUGAGAGGGUGACCGGCCACAUUGGGACUGAGGUACGGCCCAGACUCCUACGGGAGGCAGCAGUGGGGAAUAUUGCACAAUGGGCGGAAGCCUGAUGCAGCAACGCCGCGUGCGGGAUGACGGCCUUCGGGUUGUAAACCGCUUUCGCCUGUGACGAAGCGUGAGUGACGGUAAUGGGUAAAGAAGCACCGGCUAACUACGUG
RNAcentral lists this ribosomal RNA (468 nucleotides) under uncultured bacterium. Its description in RNAcentral is "partial 16S ribosomal RNA". It matches the Rfam family "Bacterial small subunit ribosomal RNA", at positions 28 to 507 of the family's 1533-position model. The record is from RNAcentral.